Molecule: ribosomal RNA, 279 nt
Filed under: uncultured bacterium
Lineage: Bacteria
Description: partial 16S ribosomal RNA
Rfam family: Bacterial small subunit ribosomal RNA
Source: RNAcentral
UGCCAGCAGCCGCGGUAAUACGCAGGGUGCAAGCGUUAAUCGGAAUCACUGGGCGUAAAGCGCACGUAGGCGGAUUAGUAAGUUAGGGGUGAAAUCCCGGGGCUCAACCCCGGAACUGCCUCUAAUACUGCUAGUCUUGAGUUCGAGAGAGGUGAGUGGAAUUCCGAGUGUAGAGGUGAAAUUCGUAGAUAUUGGGAAGAACACCAGUGGCGAAGGCGACUGCCUGGCUCGUAACUGACGCUGAGGUGCGAAAGCGUGGGGAGCAAACAGGAUUAGAUA